Molecule: ribosomal RNA, 512 nt
Filed under: uncultured bacterium
Lineage: Bacteria
Description: bacterial SSU rRNA
Rfam family: Bacterial small subunit ribosomal RNA
Source: RNAcentral
CUGGCUCAGAUUGAACGCUGGCGGCGUGCUUAACACAUGCAAGUCGCGCGUGAAAGUCCUUCGGGAUGAGUAAAGCGGCGCACGGGUGAGUAACGCGUGGAUGAUCUACCCAUGAGUGGGAAUAACGUUGGAAACGAUCGCUAAUACCCGGUACGUUCCGAUUUCAACUUCGGAGAAAGGGGGCCUCUGCUUGCAAGCUUCUGCUCAUGGAUGAGUCCGCGUCCCAUUAGCUAGUUGGUGAGGUAACGGCUCACCAAGGCAUCGAUGGGUAGCCGGUCUGAGAGGAUGACCGGCCACACUGGGACUGGAACACGGCCCAGACUCCUACGGGAGGCAGCAGUGGGGAAUAUUGCGCAAUGGGCGAAAGCCUGACGCAGCGACGCCGCGUGAGGGAUGAAAGGUCUUCGGAUCGUAAACCUCUGUCAAGAGGGAAGAAACGUCAGGGUGCUAAUCAGCCCUGAUCUGACGGUACCUCUAAAGGAAGCACCGGCUAACUCCGUGCCAGCAGCCGC